CCUACGGGAGGCAGCAGUGGGGAAUUUUGGACAAUGGGCGAAAGCCUGAUCCAGCCAUGCCGCGUGAGUGAAGAAGGCCUUCGGGUUGUAAAGCUCUUUUAGUCGGAAAGAAAGAGUUACAGUGAAUAAUUGUGAUUUAUGACGGUACCGACAGAAAAAGCACCGGCUAACUACGUGCCAGCAGCCGCGGUAAUACGUAGGGUGCGAGCGUUAAUCGGAAUUACUGGGCGUAAAGGGUGCGCAGGCAGUCUUGCAAGUCAGAUGUGAAAGCCCCAGGCUUAACCUGGGAAUUGCGUUUGAAACUACAAGGCUAGAGUGCAGCAGAGGGGAGUGGAAUUCCAUGUGUAGCAGUGAAAUGCGUAGAGAUGUGGAAGAACACCAAUGGCGAAGGCAGCUCCCUGGGUUGACACUGACGCUCAUGCACGAAAGCGUGGGGAGCAAACAGGAUUAGAUACCCUGGUAGUCCACGCCCUAAACGAUGUCAACUAGUUGUCGGAUCUAAUUAAGGAUUUGGUAACGUAGCUAACGCGUGAAGUUGACCGCCUGGGGAGUACGGUCGCAAGAUUAAAACUCAAAGGAA
RNAcentral lists this ribosomal RNA (580 nucleotides) under uncultured beta proteobacterium. RNAcentral's name for it is "bacterial SSU rRNA". It matches the Rfam family "Bacterial small subunit ribosomal RNA", at positions 338 to 909 of the family's 1533-position model. The record is from RNAcentral. Lineage: Bacteria; Pseudomonadati; Pseudomonadota; Betaproteobacteria.